RNAcentral lists this ribosomal RNA (253 nucleotides) under uncultured bacterium. RNAcentral's name for it is "partial 16S ribosomal RNA". It matches the Rfam family "Bacterial small subunit ribosomal RNA", at positions 524 to 776 of the family's 1533-position model. The record is from RNAcentral.
UACGGAGGGGACUAGCGUUGUUCGGAAUUACUGGGCGUAAAGCGCACGUAAGCGGAUUUGUAAGUCAGGGGUGAAAUCCCGGGGCUCAACCUCGGAACUGCCUUUGAUACUGCAAAUCUCGAGUCCGGAAGAGGUGAGUGGAAUUCCUAGUGUAGAGGUGAAAUUCGUAGAUAUUAGGAAGAACACCAGUGGCGAAGGCGGCUCACUGGUCCGGUACUGACGCUGAGGUGCGAAAGCGUGGGGAGCAAACAGG